RNAcentral lists this ribosomal RNA (4347 nucleotides) under Triticum aestivum (bread wheat). Its description in RNAcentral is "partial small subunit ribosomal RNA". Lineage: Eukaryota; Viridiplantae; Streptophyta; Magnoliopsida; Poales; Poaceae. The record is from RNAcentral.
AUGGAGAUCGUGAGGAUGGGGAGCUCGGCGGGGGGCGGGAGCGGCGUGCGGCGGACGGCGUCGUCGUGGCGGGGGACGUCCGGGAGGAGCGACGCCUUCGGGCGGUCGGCCAGGGAGGAGGACGACGAGGAGGCGCUGCGCUGGGCGGCCAUCGAGAAGCUCCCCACGUACGACCGCAUGCGCAAGGGCAUCCUGCUCCCGGGCGCCGUCGCCGGCGUCGGCGGCGCCGGGCAGGAGGUGGACAUCCAGGGGCUCGGCCUCAACGAGAGGAAGAACCUCAUCGAGCGCCUCAUACGCACCGCCGAGGAGGACAACGAGCGCUUCCUCCUCAAGCUCCGCGACCGGAUGGAGCGGGUUGGGAUCGAGAACCCGACGAUCGAGGUGCGGUUCCAGAACCUCAACAUCGACGCCGAGGCCUACGUCGGCAACCGGGGAAUCCCGACGUUCAUCAACUUCUUCUCCAACAAAAUCAUGAAUGUGCUGAGUGCUCUGCGCAUCGUGUCAAGCGGGAAGAGGCCCAUCUCUAUCAUCCAUGACAUCAGCGGAAUCGUAAGACCCGGCAGAAUGUCCUUGUUGCUUGGCCCCCCUGGGUCCGGAAAAACUAGUCUACUCCUGGCCCUGGCAGGGAAGCUGGACUCAACUCUCAAGGUGUCAGGGAGAGUGACUUACAACGGGCAUGACAUGCAUGAAUUUGUCCCCCAGAGGACAUCAGCGUACAUCGGGCAGCAUGACCUUCACAUCGGCGAAAUGACGGUGAGGGAGACACUGGCCUUCUCUGCGAGAUGUCAAGGAGUCGGAACCCGUUACGACAUGCUUACUGAACUCUCAAGAAGGGAGAAAGAAGCCAACAUCAAGCCAGAUCCUGACAUUGAUGUCUACAUGAAGGCCAUCUCUGUGGAAGGUCAAGAGAGCGUGAUCACAGAUUACAUCCUCAAAAUUUUGGGUCUGGAAAUCUGUGCAGAUACAAUGGUUGGGGACGGUAUGAUCAGAGGCAUCUCAGGAGGACAAAAGAAGCGUGUCACCACAGGCGAGAUGCUUGUCGGGCCAGCAAAGGCACUGUUUAUGGAUGAAAUCUCCACCGGUUUGGACAGCUCCACAACGUACCAGAUCAUCAACUCCCUCAGGCAAUCUGUCCACAUCCUCGGUGGCACGGCAUUGAUCGCGUUGCUUCAGCCUGCGCCUGAAACAUACGAGCUCUUUGAUGACAUUGUUCUGCUCACCGAGGGGAAAAUCGUGUACCAGGGUCCUCGAGAAAGCGUCCUUGAGUUCUUUGAGGCCGUCGGAUUCAGAUGCCCUGAGAGGAAGGGUGUUGCAGACUUCUUGCAAGAAGUAACAUCUAGGAAGGAUCAGCACCAGUACUGGUGCCGAAGUGACGAGCCAUACCGAUACAUCUCGGUCAACGACUUCACGGAGGCAUUCAAAGCAUUCCAUGUUGGCCGUAAGAUGGGCUCGGAGCUCAGGGUGCCGUUCGAUCGAACCAGGAACCACCCUGCUGCGCUCACGACUUCCAAGUUCGGUAUCAGCAAGAUGGAGCUUCUGAAGGCAUGCGUCUCUAGGGAGUGGCUGCUGAUGAAGAGGAACUCGUUUGUUUACAUCUUUAAAAUAGUUCAGCUCAUAAUCCUUGGGACCAUCGCAAUGACUGUCUUCCUGCGUACGGAGAUGCACCGGGACUCAGUCGAGGAUGGAGUGAUCUACAUGGGCGCGAUGUUCCUCGGCCUGGUCACGCAUUUGUUCAAUGGAUUCGCCGAGCUCGCCAUGAGCAUUGCAAAGCUGCCUAUAUUCUACAAGCAGAGGGACCUGCUCUUCUAUCCAUCAUGGGCGUAUGGAUUGCCUACAUGGCUGCUCAAGAUCCCGAUAUCAUUCCUGGAAUGUGCCGUGUGGAUCUGCAUGACUUACUAUGUCAUUGGCUUCGAUCCAAACAUCGAAAGGUUCUUCCGCCAUUACCUGCUGCUUGUGCUGAUCAGCCAGAUGGCAUCGGGUCUCUUCCGGGUUCUUGCUGCAUUAGGAAGGGAUAUGGUUGUUGCAGACACGUUUGGGUCGUUUGCUCAGCUUGUUCUUCUGGUUCUCGGCGGCUUCUUGAUAGCUAGAGAUAACAUCAAGGCAUGGUGGAUUUGGGGCUACUGGUGCUCCCCUCUGAUGUAUGCCCAGAACGCCAUAGCGGUGAACGAGUUCCUUGGGCAUAGCUGGAGGAUGGUUGUUGAUCCGACAGACAGCAAUGACACGCUAGGCGUACAAGUCUUGAAGUCGCGCGGCAUCUUUGUCGAUCCAAACUGGUACUGGAUCGGUGUUGGUGCCUUACUUGGGUACAUCAUGCUCUUCAAUGUACUCUUCAUUGUGUUCCUCGACUUGCUUGACCCACUUGGAAAGGGCCAAAAUGUUGUUUCUGAAGAGGAACUGAUGGAGAAGCAUGUGAACCGCACCGGAGAAAAUGUAGAGUUGCUGCUUCUUGGAAACGAUUCCCAGAAUUCACCUUCCAACGGAGGAGGAGAAAUCACUGGCGCUGACACCAGGGAGAGGGGAAUGGCACUUCCAUUUACUCCCUUGUCAAUCACCUUUGACAAUAUCAGAUAUUCUGUGGACAUGCCUCAGGAAAUGAAAGACAAAGGUAUUACUGAAGACCGGCUAGUGCUCCUGAAAGGUGUUAGUGGAGCUUUCAGGCCAGGAGUUCUUACAGCAUUGAUGGGCGUCAGCGGGGCGGGAAAGACCACUCUGAUGGAUGUGUUGGCGGGACGGAAAACUGGCGGUUACAUUGAAGGAGACAUCAGCAUCUCUGGAUACCCGAAGAACCAAGACACUUUUGCCCGGAUUGCUGGUUACUGUGAGCAAAAUGAUAUCCAUUCUCCACAUGUCACCGUUUAUGAAUCCCUCGUGUACUCGGCGUGGCUCCGGUUGUCCCCUGAUGUAGACUCAGAAGCAAGACAAAUGUUUGUGGAACAAGUCAUGGAACUCGUCGAGCUGACAUCACUGAGGGGAGCAUUGGUGGGACUGCCAGGAGUGAAUGGUUUAUCCACCGAACAGCGUAAAAGGCUCACCAUUGCUGUUGAGCUUGUUGCCAACCCCUCCAUCAUAUUCAUGGAUGAACCAACUUCUGGACUGGACGCAAGGGCAGCUGCCAUCGUGAUGAGGGCGGUCAGAAACACAGUAGACACAGGAAGAACAGUUGUCUGCACCAUCCACCAGCCCAGCAUCGACAUAUUUGAAGCUUUUGAUGAGCUGUUCCUGAUGAAACGGGGAGGAGAAGAAAUUUAUGUCGGCCCCUUGGGGCACAACUCAUGCCAUCUGAUCGAUUACUUUGAGGGAAUACAAGGUGUGAAGAAAAUCAAGGAUGGAUACAACCCUGCAACCUGGAUGUUAGAAGUGACCACCCUAGCUCAGGAAGAUGCCUUGGGUGUCAACUUUGCCGAAGUAUACAUGAAUUCUGACCUAUACCGGAGGAACAAAGCUUUGAUAAGUGACCUAAGCACACCUCCACGUGGAUCGACGGACCUGUACUUCCCAAAACAGUAUGCACAGUCCUUCUUCACACAAUGCAUUGCUUGCCUGUGGAAGCAGCAUAAGUCCUAUUGGAGAAAUCCAUCAUACACUGCAACUAGAAUAUUCUUCACGACGGUUAUUGCUCUCAUCUUUGGCACCAUCUUUUUGAACCUAGGACAGAAAAUCGGCAAGAGGCAGGACCUGUUCAAUUCUUUGGGUUCCAUGUAUGCAGCAGUUAUUUUCAUUGGAAUUCAGAAUGGCCAAUGCGUUCAACCUAUUGUCGACGUCGAGCGAACAGUUUUUUACCGAGAAAAAGCUGCUGGCAUGUACUCUGCUCUACCCUAUGCUUUUGCACAGGUUUUCAUUGAGAUCCCACAUGUCUUCCUACAGACCAUUAUUUAUGGUCUGAUUGUUUACAGCUUGAUUGGCUUGGACUGGGCAUUUAUCAAAUUCUUUUGGUACAUCUUCUUCAUGUUCUUCACUUUCCUGUACUUCACAUUUUAUGGGAUGAUGGCAGUCGCCAUGACGCCAAACAGCGACAUUGCUGCCAUAGUCGCAACUGCAUUCUAUGCAGUAUGGAAUAUCUUUGCCGGUUUCCUAGUCCCCCGACCAAGGAUACCAAUAUGGUGGAGGUGGUACUCAUGGGCAUGCCCGGUGGCAUGGACACUCUACGGGCUUGUUGCCUCACAAUAUGGAGACAUUGCAGACGUUACGCUGGAGGAUGGGGAACAAGUGAACGCUUUCAUCCACAGAUUCUUUGGAUUCAGGCAUGAUUACGUAGGUUUUAUGGCUGCCGGUGUUGUAGGAUUCACUGUUCUCUUCGCUUUCGUUUUUGCCUUCUCCAUCAAAGUCUUGAACUUCCAAAGAAGAUAG